Patella vulgata (common limpet) is the source of this 1668-nucleotide long non-coding RNA. RefSeq lists it as uncharacterized. NCBI's taxonomy places the organism in Eukaryota, Metazoa, Mollusca, Gastropoda, Patellidae. The record is from RefSeq and is a predicted model, not a curated record. The transcript has 3 exons.
CUACGCUAUGCCGUCCCUGGCCUAUAAUGAUACCAGCUUUACUCAAAAUAUGAUUCACGAGAAAGACGUAGUGGUCGUCUUAUGAAUGACGUAUUUAUGGUUAGAAUGAAAAGGAUUAGCACUGUGCCAUAUAUUCAGAUAUCUGUGAACAAUCUGGAAUGUUGCCCAUUGAUUCCUGACCGUGAUUCGUGUGGUUUAUUGGAAUCAAUUAAUAUAUUUGUAGCAUUUGCAGGUUCUCAAAUAAGACUAGAAUGUACCACAAAGUCACCAAUAACCACAUCGCCACCAACAACAACUGAAGAACCACCUUAUGAUAGUUCUGGUCGAUUGCUUGGUAUAACAAUUGGAUCUAUUCUGGCUGUUCUGGUUGUGGUAGCUGUAGUUAUUACAAUUGUUUGCUUGGUGAAAAUACGAAGGAAAAGGCCCCUACAACCACAAGAUAGGCCACAUAAUUAUGUAAAUGUAGCUGUAACACCCAAAAGCAACGCCAAUGGUCACAACAACCAAAACACGAACCCUGGUAAUCAGAGAAUGAUCUAUUUAGAAAAUGAUCUUUAUAAAAAUAUUGAUGACGAGGAGCCGGUAGGAAGAACGGGAAGUAACCACGCAGGCAUGAUAUAUCUUAAAAAUGAUCUUUAUAUUUCAAGCAAUGAAACUAAUUAUGUUCAUAAAGAUGCAGAUAACUCAGUUGCUCAUCAACCUGUUGAAUAUGCUGUGGUUAAUAAAACCGCCAAGAAAAGUAGUUCUGGUAAGGACGCGUCAACGGGUCACACAGUUGGACCACGUGGUGACGAAUACACACUUUUACAAAAGAAAUAGUUGUAGAACGCCUAAUUAAACAUGCAUUAGGCAAGAGCUAAAUCUACCUAUUGCAGGUAUUUCUUUAGGCCUGGAAUGUUAUCUAAAUUAUUAAUUAUAUAUUAAUUAACUUAUCCAGACCAUAAUCAAUACUCGGUAUCAACGCUAGCCUGCGAUAUUUAUCGGAUUAGGGUCCGAUUUGCUGUUCAACUUUGAUUCAUAAUUUAAUCGUGAAAUGGAUAAUCGAGACUAUGUUUUUAUCGGACCGAGACUUUGGUAAUGAUGAUCGAGGCUAGGCCGAAAAAUCAAUCGCUAAAAUCUCGGUUCAGAGUGGAUCAAUUUUACUGAAAUUUCCGUAUCUUUAAGCAAAUAACUUACAAAUGAAAAAUGAUAGACAGUAUAUAUGUUCAAACCAAUUGAUCUUGGGUCUUGCAGGCACAAACAAACUUCACCACAUCAAACUAGACUUAGGAGGGAUGAAGUUGUUUUGUGUCGCACUCGCAUUGGUCAUACUAUUUAACUCACAUUUCCAUCUUGAAGCGAGAGCCUCAACCGGAAUGUGAACACUGUCAUGUUCCUUUCAAAGUUAAGCACAUUUUGAGUAUCUCAAAAAUAUUAAUUCCAAAUACUUCCGUUGCAAGUCAUUACAGGAUUUAUCUGCACAACCGGGUAUACAUUGUGAAGCGUUGGACGUUUUUAAAGCGACACAUUUUCAUAGAAAAGUUUAAUUUGAAUAUAUAUACUUGUCUUUUCAAUUUUUUUUAUAUUUUAAAUAUUUAAUUUUAAUUACGUUAACUGUAAUACUUGCUUAUACCUGUUUUUAUAUAUAUAUAAUAAUAGUUAUUUAUUUCAUAUCGUAGAUAUCACGAG